CCUGAGAAACCCAAAAGAUCGAAUGGGGAGAUUCAUCGUCAGCUCAUUUUAUAUAUAUACUAGUUAUGAUAUGGGUUACUACUUGUAGUAUUGCCUGUACAUUCUUGUAUAUUUAAUUGUAAGAUGUUGUCGGCGUGCACUUCUCCUCUAGUAGGACGUCGCGACCCGUUGAGUGUUGGUCUACGGCCCAAGUGGGAGCUUUUAAUAAAUUCCUAUUUAUUGAAAACCCUUGGUGUUUCCUGACUGGCACUCGUCGGUAUUCGUAUGGUAUUGAGCCGCAUACUAUAUGCGUCCAUAUCUGUCACAAGCGAGGUUAGUUACUAAUAGUACGGACCUAGUGCCGUCGUUGGUGCUAAUCAGCUGUUGGUUGUACAGAAUUCUAGGACUGGCUUGUUGAAAUACCGGUCAGCGAUGCUACUGCUUUGGU
This 427-nucleotide ribosomal RNA is filed under the name Stenobracon (Euvipio) sp. RNAcentral describes it as "eukaryotic LSU rRNA". The record is from RNAcentral. Lineage: Eukaryota; Metazoa; Arthropoda; Insecta; Hymenoptera; Braconidae.